AGUGAACGCUGGCGGCAGGCCUAACACAUGCAAGUCGAGCGGCAGCGGGUCCCCGCGAGGGGAUGCCGGCGAGCGGCGGACGGGUGAGGAACACAUCGGAAUCUGCCUGGUUGUGGGGGAUAACGUAGGGAAACUUACGCUAAUACCGCAUGCGACCCUGAGUCGACGGACUUGGGGUGAAAGUGAGGGACCUUCGGGCCUCACGCGACCAGAUGAGCCGAUGUCGGAUUAGCUAGUUGGCGGGGUAACGGCCCGCCAAGGCGACGAUCCGUAGCUGGUCUGAGAGGAUGAUCAGCCACACUGGGACUGAGACA
RNAcentral lists this ribosomal RNA (314 nucleotides) under uncultured bacterium. RNAcentral describes it as "bacterial SSU rRNA". It matches the Rfam family "Bacterial small subunit ribosomal RNA", at positions 30 to 326 of the family's 1533-position model. The record is from RNAcentral.